This 111-nucleotide ribosomal RNA is filed under the name Nostoc sp. HG1. RNAcentral's name for it is "partial 16S ribosomal RNA". It matches the Rfam family "Bacterial small subunit ribosomal RNA", at positions 1433 to 1533 of the family's 1533-position model. The record is from RNAcentral. Lineage: Bacteria; Bacillati; Cyanobacteriota; Cyanophyceae; Nostocales; Nostocaceae.
CUCCAACCAUUCGUGGAGGAGGAUGCCUAAGGCAGGACUGGGUGACUGGGGUGAAGUCGGUAACAAGGUAGCCGUACCGGAAGGUGCGGCUGGAACACCUCCUUUCUGGAG